Molecule: ribosomal RNA, 253 nt
Filed under: uncultured bacterium
Lineage: Bacteria
Description: partial 16S ribosomal RNA
Rfam family: Bacterial small subunit ribosomal RNA
Source: RNAcentral
GACGUAGGGCGCGAGCGUUGUCCGGAUUUAUUGGGCGUAAAGAGCUCGUAGGCGGCUUGUCGCGUCGACUGUGAAAUCCCGCGGCUCAACUGCGGGUCUGCAGUCGAUACGGGCAGGUUAGAGUUCGGUAGGGGAGACUGGAAUUCCUGGUGUAGCGGUGAAAUGCGCAGAUAUCAGGAGGAACACCGGUGGCGAAGGCGGGUCUCUGGGCCGAUACUGACGCUGAGGAGCGAAAGCGUGGGGAGCGAACAGG